This 69-nucleotide transfer RNA is filed under the name Marmota monax (woodchuck). RNAcentral's name for it is "tRNA.Ala". The stretch from base 4 to 64 matches the Rfam family "tRNA", at positions 6 to 65 of the family's 71-position model. Rfam says of the family: Transfer RNA (tRNA) molecules are approximately 80 nucleotides in length. Their secondary structure includes four short double-helical elements and three loops (D, anti-codon, and T loops). The record is from RNAcentral. Lineage: Eukaryota; Metazoa; Chordata; Mammalia; Rodentia; Sciuridae.
GUUUGUAGCUUAGUGGAAAAGUGCUUGCCUAGCACGCACAAGGCCCUGGGUUUGAUCCCCAGCAUCCCA